RNAcentral lists this long non-coding RNA (228 nucleotides) under Medicago truncatula (barrel medic). Its description in RNAcentral is "long non-coding RNA (MTRU_LNC002761)". The record is from RNAcentral. Lineage: Eukaryota; Viridiplantae; Streptophyta; Magnoliopsida; Fabales; Fabaceae.
UGGGAUAGGAUCAAAUGACACCAUGGUGUCAAAAUUAGUUUGACACCAAAUCUUAUCCAUUCAUUUCAUUUAAUCCAAAGGCUUAAAACUAUCACCAAAUUAAUUAACAUACAUCAAAUACUCUCUAUCACCUAAUUAAGAAACAUAUAUAUCAUCAUUAAUUCAUAAUCAAACAAUACCUUCUUGUUUUUGGUAGAUUCAAACCCUUUUUAUUUUCCCCUAAUUUUU